RNAcentral lists this ribosomal RNA (325 nucleotides) under uncultured eukaryote. Its description in RNAcentral is "partial 18S ribosomal RNA". It matches the Rfam family "Eukaryotic small subunit ribosomal RNA", at positions 1470 to 1796 of the family's 1831-position model. The record is from RNAcentral.
CCCUUAGAUGUUCUGGGCUGCACGCGCGCUACACUGAAGCGUUCAACGAGUAUUUCACCUUGCCCGGGAGGGUUGGGUAAUCUUUUUAAAACGCUUCGUGAUGGGGAUAGAUUAUUGCAAUUAUUAAUCUUCAACGAGGAAUUCCUAGUAAGCGCGAGUCAUCAGCUCGUGCUGAUUACGUCCCUGCCCUUUGUACACACCGCCCGUCGCACCUACCGAUUGAAUGGUCCGGUGAAAUCUCCGGACUGGCGUGAGUCGGAGCAAUCUGACAAACGCCGGAAAGUUGAUUAAACCUUACCAUUUAGAGGAAGGUGAAGUCGUAACA